This 443-nucleotide ribosomal RNA is filed under the name uncultured archaeon. Its description in RNAcentral is "bacterial SSU rRNA". It matches the Rfam family "Archaeal small subunit ribosomal RNA", at positions 1 to 458 of the family's 1478-position model. The record is from RNAcentral.
CUUCCGCCGGACCUGACUGCUAUCGGAUUGAUACUAAGCCAUGCGGGUCUUUGUAGUAAUACAAGGCAGACGGCUCAGUAACGCGUAGUCAAUCUACCCUAUGGACGAGGAUAACUCGGGGAACUGUGAGAAUAAUACUCGAUAGAACAUUAUGCCUGGAAUGGUUUAUGUUCCAAAUGAUUUAUCGCCGUAGGAUGGGACUGCGGCCUAUCAGUUUGUUGGUGAGGUAAUGGCCCACCAAGACUAUUACAGGUACGGGCUCUGAGAGGAGUGGCCCGGAGAUGGGUACUGAGACACGGACCCAUGCCCUAUGGGGCGCAGCAGGCGAGAAAACUUUGCAAUGUGCGAAAGCACGACAAGGUUAAUCCGAGUGGUUUCUGCUAAAGAGACCUUUUGUCGGUCCUAGAAACACCGAUGAAUAAGGGGUGGGCAAGUUCUGGUGU